Molecule: ribosomal RNA, 3878 nt
Filed under: Triticum aestivum (bread wheat)
Lineage: Eukaryota; Viridiplantae; Streptophyta; Magnoliopsida; Poales; Poaceae
Description: partial small subunit ribosomal RNA
Source: RNAcentral
CCCGAGAGCAAUAAAAACUCCCGCAGAAAGCGAAACACGCCGCAGUUAUUCCCGCCCGCCACACGUAACCCGUCUCACCGUCCCCCCAUUUCAAAUCACCGCCGCCGACCGACGGGUGGGCCGCGCGGGGGUACUACCCCGGCAGCUCAGCGUAACUGCGCCGCCACGUGGUCAACGUGGUCCCCACCUACGCUGCGUCGAGCAAGGGGUAGCAGUACAGCCUCCUCCGCCUCCUCCUUCCUCCCCGUGCUGCUGCGCUGCUUCUUCUGCGGCGUGGCGUCUCGCUUUUAAAAUCUCGCGACGCAGCGGCCUCUCUUCUCUUUUGGAUUGAAUGGAGCAGGCCAUGUGAAGCCUCUGACCUUCGGAUACCUACCCCUCCCUCCGCCUCGCUCGCCCGUCCGCGCCGCGCCGCGCCCCACCGCCGCGUGCGUGCGUGCGUGCGUCGCCUUGCGGGCGAGAUCCGCGAUGUCCUCGCGGCCGUCCUCGUCGUCCUCGUCGAGGCGGAGCAGCUCGCCCUUCUCCGCGGGGAGCCGCCGCCCGCCGACCUCCUCCUCCUCCUCCAGCUCCUACAUGGCCGGGCGGCUCAUCCCCCGCUCCUCCUCCUCCGUCUCCUCGUACGGCGGCGGCGGGGGCUCGAGGUCCACCACCCCCGGACGCCGGUCCGCCCCCGCCCCGCCGCCGCCUCCUGCUCCGGUGCCGUUCCCUAGCGCGGACGAGCUCGUCAUUGAGGACACCUCCCGAUCAGGCGACAGCAUCUCCGUCACCAUCCGCUUCCGGCCACUCAGCGAACGGGAGAUCCAGCGCGGCGACGAGAUCACGUGGUAUCCCGACGGGGAUCGGCUUGUGCGGUGUGACUACGUCCAGCCAUCGGCUUAUGGUUAUGAUAGAGUUUUUGGGCCUUCAACAGCUACAGAGGCUGUCUAUGAUGUUGCUGCUCGGCCUGUUGUGAAAGGUGCUAUGGAGGGCAUAAAUGGGACAGUUUUUGCCUAUGGUGUCACAAGCAGUGGGAAAACCCACACAAUGCAUGGUGACCAGAAUUGUCCUGGAAUAAUCCCAUUAGCCAUCAAGGAUGUCUUCAGCUUAAUACAAGAGGUGAUAAAUGAUCUGCUUGAUCCUACUGGACAAAAUCUGCGUGUGAGGGAGGAUGCACAGGGAACAUAUGUAGAAGGAAUAAAAGAAGAAGUUGUACUUUCUCCUGGACAUGCUCUCUCUUUCAUAGCUGCUGGCGAAGAGCAUCGGCAUGUUGGUUCAAACAACUUCAACUUAUUUAGCAGCCGAAGUCAUACUAUUUUCACUAUGAUGAUUGAAAGCAGUGAUCGUGGUGAUGAGUACGACGGAGCCAUGUACUCACAGCUUAAUUUGAUUGAUCUAGCUGGCUCAGAGAGUUCUAAGACAGAGACUACGGGGUUAAGAAGAAGGGAAGGAUCUUAUAUUAACAAGAGUCUUUUAACUCUCGGAACAGUUAUCGGGAAGCUCAGUGAAGGGAGAGCAACACAUAUACCCUAUCGAGAUUCUAAGUUGACUCGUCUGCUGCAGUCAUCACUGAGUGGCCAUGGUCACGUCUCACUAAUUUGCACAAUUACCCCAGCAUCGAGUAACAUGGAGGAAACCCAUAAUACAUUGAAAUUUGCAAGCAGAGCAAAACGUGUUGAAAUUUAUGCCUCUCGUAACCGGUUAGUUGAUGAGAAGUCUUUGAUCAAGAAGUAUCAGAGAGAAAUAUCAUCUCUAAAGCAAGAGCUUGAUGAGUUUAGGAGAGGAAUGCUUGGGGGUGCUAGUCAGGAAGAAAUAAUGAUUUUACGGCAACAGUUGGAAGAGGGCCAGGUAAAAAUGCAAUCUCGCCUUGAGGAGGAAGAGGAUGCCAAAGCUGCUCUGAUGAGCAGAAUACAGCGGUUGACCAAGUUAAUACUUGUUUCCACGAAGACCAAUAUUCCUGUUUUGACAGAUUCGUCUCGUCUUCAGCACCAAAAUUCUGUUAGUGAGGAAGAUAAGCUAAGCUCUUCCCAAGAUAGUACUACGGUAGUCCAAAAUGACAGUACAUCAAAGGACACCUUAUCAUCUGCUUUGCCUGAUCCGUUGGAUGAGAUCAAUGGACUAAGGUCUGCUAGCGGAGAUCCUUCUUCAGUAACUGGUUCAGGACAAGAUUCAAUGCAGGUGGGAAUCACGGAAUCGGAUCAUUUGGAUCUAUUGAUUGAGCAAGUUAAGAUGCUUGCUGGGGAGAUUGCUUUUGGUACCAGUUCGCUGAAAAGAUUAAUUGAACAAUCAAUAGAAGACCCUGAAGGGACAAAGAAUCAAAUAGAGAAUCUAGAGCAUGAAAUCCAGCAAAAGAGGAGGCAUCUGCGAGCCCUGGAACAAAAAAUCAUGGAAAGCGGUGAGGCAUCAGUUGCUAAUGCUUCUAUGGUGGAUAUGCAGCAGACUAUUACGAAGUUGACAGCUCAAUGCAAUGAGAAGGCUUUUGACUUAGAGUUAAAAUCGGCCGAUAAUCGUGUCCUUCAGGAGCAGCUACAACAGAAGAGUAUGGAAAUCAAUGAUUUACAAGAAAAAGUUCUACGCCUUGAGGCACAGCUCAUACCGAAAACCAACAUAUCCCCUGAACAAUGCACACAUCAGGAGAUUCUUGAUUUGAAAUCUAAACUUCAGUCCAAGGAAGUUGAAACUGAGAAGCUUAAAUACCAGCAUCUGGAAGUGAUUGAAGAAAAUCGAGACCUAAUCAAUCAGAACCACAAAUUAAGUGAGGAAGCUGCUUAUGCAAAAGAAUUGGCAUCUUCUGCAGCUGUUGAGCUUAAGAAUUUGGCUGAAGAAGUUACAAAGCUAUCGAUACAAAAUGCAAGGCAGGCAAAGGAGUUAUUAAUCUCCCAGGAGAUGGCACAUUCCAGGGUUCCUGUUAGAAAGGGGCGCCCAGCAGGUAGGGGCAGGGAUGAAGUUGGGACCUGGAGUCUUGAUUUAGAGGAUAUGAAGAUGGAGCUACUGGCGCGAAAAAAGAGGGAAGCUGCUCUAGAAGCAGCUUUGGCAGAGAAGGAGCUUCUUGAAGAGGAGUACAAGAAGAAGUUUGAUGAAGCAAAGAAAAAAGAGCUUUCUCUAGAAAAUGAUCUAGCAGGCAUGUGGGUUCUUGUUGCUAAGUUGAAGAGAGGGGCUUUCAGCAUAUCUGAUUUAAACGUUGAUGACCGGUCUAUCAAUCUAGCUGACAUAACUAAUGAUGCAAAGGAAAACAAAGGUGACACAAAUGUAGCUUUAGUUGAGAAACAAGUGUCAGAUGAUACUGUGAAGUCAUUGACUGCAGAAGAAUAUAGAAGUCCAGAAUUUGAACCUCUUCUUGUUCGUCUCAAGGCUAAAAUUCAAGAGAUGAAGGAGAAGGAAACUGACCCCCUGAGUGAUAAAGAUGGCAAUUCCCAUGUCUGCAAAGUAUGUUUUGAAUCCGCAACUGCUGCAGUUUUGCUUCCUUGUCGGCAUUUUUGCUUGUGCAAGCCUUGCGCACUUGCCUGUUCGGAAUGCCCUCUGUGCCGCACACGAAUCGUAGACAGGAUAAUUACCUUCACAUAGAUCACUUGUUAGCCUAAGGAAACUUUUGACACACCCAAUCUCUCCAUGUAAAAUCACCAACCUUAUAUGUUUCUUUUUCUGUGUAGCAAAGAAGGUUACUUUUAUGUUCCUUCUAUGUUGUAUUGCCAUUCGUUUGAUUUCCCUAUAUGGCUUUACCUUGGCUCCUUGUUGUAUUGAGAAGUUCAGUGACUUCUCGACAAAUGUGUAUAGAUAUGUGACUCAACAUUGUCCUCAAGUAAAGCAAAUUGAUGUGGCAAUACAUAUUUUUUUCUUAUCUUUCAGAAGUAAACGAUGAACAUGAGAUCCUCAAGCUGAUGCAGUUAAUUAUUUUCCUGUUGUUU